This 507-nucleotide ribosomal RNA is filed under the name uncultured bacterium. RNAcentral's name for it is "partial 16S ribosomal RNA". It matches the Rfam family "Bacterial small subunit ribosomal RNA", at positions 28 to 507 of the family's 1533-position model. The record is from RNAcentral.
GACGAACGCUGGCGGCGUGCCUAAUACAUGCAAGUCGAACGCAUUUUCUUUCACCGUAGCUUGCUACACCGAAAGAAAAUGAGUGGCGAACGGGUGAGUAACACGUGGGUAACCUGCCCAUCAGCGGGGGAUAACACUUGGAAACAGGUGCUAAUACCGCAUAAUUCCAUUUACCGCAUGGUAGAUGGAUGAAAGGCGCUUUUGCGUCACUGAUGGAUGGACCCGCGGUGCAUUAGCUAGUUGGUGGGGUAACGGCCUACCAAGGCUGCGAUGCAUAGCCGACCUGAGGGGGUGAUCGGCCACACUGGGACUGAGACACGGCCCAGACUCCUACGGGAGGCAGCAGUAGGGAAUCUUCGGCAAUGGACACAAGUCUGACCGAGCAACGCCGCGUGAGUGAAGAAGGUUUUCGGAUCGUAAAACUCUGUUGUUAGAGAAGAACAAGGAUGAGAGUGGAAAGUUCAUCCCUUGACGGUAUCUAACCAGAAAGCCACGGCUAACUACGUG